GACGAACGCUGGCGGCGUGCUUAACACAUGCAAGUCGAACGGAAAGGCCCUGCUUUUGUUGGGUGCUCGAGUGGCGAACGGGUGAGUAACACGUGAGUAACCUGCCCUUUACUUUGGGAUAACUUUUGGAAACUAGGGCUAAUACCGGAUAGGAGCUCCUGCUGCAUGGUGUGGGUUUGAAAGUUUCGAGGGUUUGGGAUGUACUCGCGGCUUCUCAGCUUGAUGUUGGGGUAGUGGCUUACCCAGGCUUUGGCGGCUAGCCGUCCUGGAAUGGUGAACGGCCACAUCUCGAAUGGGAGACAGCCGAGACGACUACGGGAGGAAGGAGGGAAGAAUAAUGCAGAAAGGGCGGAAGCGGGAAGAAGGAACGCCGCGUGUGGAAUGACGGUGUUCGGGUUGUAAAACUCUUUCGCUUGUAACGACGCGUGAGGGACGGUAAUGGGUAAAGAAGCACCGGCUAAUUAGUU
This 467-nucleotide ribosomal RNA is filed under the name uncultured bacterium. Its description in RNAcentral is "partial 16S ribosomal RNA". It matches the Rfam family "Bacterial small subunit ribosomal RNA", at positions 28 to 506 of the family's 1533-position model. The record is from RNAcentral.